GGACCCGCACAAGCGGUGGAGCAUGUGGUUUAAUUCGAUGCAACGCGAAAAACCUUACCUACUCUUGACAUACUUGGAAGCUCUUGUAAUGAGAGUGUGCCUUUUGGAACCAAGAUACAGGUGCUGCAUGGCUGUCGUCAGCUCGUGUCGUGAGAUGUUCCGUUAAGUCGGAUAACGAGCGCAACCCUUACCCUUAUUUGCCAGCGAUUCGGUCGGGAACUAUAAGGGGACUGCCGGUGAUAAACCGGAGGAAGGUGAGGACGACGUCAAGUCAUCAUGGCCCUUACGAGUAGGGCUACACACGUGCUACAAUGGGGAAUACAGACGGACGCUAAGCCGCGAGGUGGUGCUAAUCCUAGAAAGCCGGUCGUAGUCCGGAUUGGGGUCUGCAACUCGACCCCAUGAAGUCGGAAUC
This 415-nucleotide ribosomal RNA is filed under the name uncultured bacterium. RNAcentral's name for it is "bacterial SSU rRNA". It matches the Rfam family "Bacterial small subunit ribosomal RNA", at positions 917 to 1333 of the family's 1533-position model. The record is from RNAcentral.